GUGAGGGAGGGUGUGACUAGUGACAGAGAGAGGGAGGGAGUGACUAGUGACAGAGUGAGGGAGGGAGUGACUAGUGACAGAGGGAGGGAUGGGGUGAAUAGUGACAGUCACCACCUCCUUCACUCUGUCACUGUGUCACCCCCUUCCUCACUCUGUCACUGUGUCACCCCUUCCUCACUCUGUCACUGUGUCACCCCUUCCUCGCUCUGUCACUAGUCACCCACUCCCUCCCUCAC
Non-coding RNA from Pelobates cultripes (western spadefoot toad), 236 nucleotides. NCBI's taxonomy places the organism in Eukaryota, Metazoa, Chordata, Amphibia, Anura, Pelobatidae. The record is from the annotation of a GenBank genome assembly.